UAAAAGAAAGGAGGGAACAAAUAAUUAGACUAAUUUUGUUAGGGCCUUUUGUGCAAGUUUGAACUAAACAAUAUUUCAAUUAAAGAGGACAAAGGGGCAAUUUGGGAUAGUAACUGGAGAACAGGAUAUCAGCCCUGAUGAAUUUGACACAACACAUGAAGGGAUUACUGGACACCAAUGCUUUUAGAAGAAAAGCAGGGUUCUAACCCUCACUCCUGAAGGCUGCAUCUCCAGAUAAGAACUGGACUGCAGGGAGCUUGUCAGUGCAGAGGAGUCUUUUUCUGCCCACUGGAGCUUAGCCAGAAAAUCUUUGGUAAACAGGAGUUUUGAGAAAUAGAAAAGACGCUUUCCCCAUGUAGAAAACUUCAGCCUUGUUUUAUUAUCUCUUCCCUGCUCACUAGCUGGAGUCCAUGCGAUAACGGCCCCAGCCCGAGAAGGCCGGCUGCUCUGCAGGAAUGUGCCUCCCGGGGAGCCGGAGGGCGGCCGUGCAGCGCCCAUGGGAGCGCCCCGCCGCCGUGGCACUGCGGGCCCCGGCCAGGGCAGGCGCCCAGGGCUGGUCCCGGCGUCCCGGGGGAGCCGCCGGCGCCCCGGCUGUGUCCCCUGGGUGGCUGGGAAAGGCCUCGGCUGCGGGUGCUGCCCCGGGCUGGAUGCAGCGCGUGUAGAUGCUUUUCACAAGCCGCUUCGGACCGUUUCCCACAGGCAGCUGGUGUUUAUCCAGGCGUGCCGGCGGAGCUGCAUCCCCUCCUGGUCGGCGUUUCUUGUUCUGUACUGUCAUCACUUCUGGGCUUGCGUUGCUCCAGAGAUUUAUAUCAACAACGAGAAGAGCGGAGCCUUUGGGAAGGGGGAAGGCUGCUGAGCAGUGACCGCGGGGAUCGCCGUGGAGGGAGAAGCUGGACCAGCCGGAGGCUGUGACCUGGCUCCUGCUCUGCUGCUGGCUGCUGUGAGACCUUGUAUGGGUGUCUAAGACAAUUGUGAUCAAUGCCUGAUGAAGCUGACUAUCUGUCUUUGCUGAACGUAGAGGAACCCUAAACAGCUGUGUUGGCCUCGUUUCCUGGUUUCUUAGGUGGCUAAAGUGAAAGCAGGAUUAGCACAAAUCAUCCCACUGCUCUGGGGUGUUGUGGGGGCAGCGAGCAAGCAAGAAAACGAGACUCCUGUAACGGCUGGCAAAACACUCAGACCUUGAACGGGGAGCGUUGUGACACUGGCGCAGAUACCCAGGAGACCGCGUUUGCCUGAGGUGGCGAGGCUUGCAAAGGGAUUUCUCAGAAAAAUCCCUCUCCUCCCUGUUCCAUCCGCCUUCCUGCACAAAAACCCUGCCCAGCCAAAGCCGAUCUGGAGAAUUGCAGGGAACAGGCUAUUUUUAUUUCAACUGCAUCAUAAUAGCAGUGUGCAGGGGGGGAACUCCUGCUGAAUAAACAGGAAGGAAAGGAGGUUUGGUGCAUGGCAUUCUCCCAAAGUAUUUCUGGGCUGUGCUGUUAACCCCAUGGUGGCUAUUUUAUAACAAUCCUCUCCUCUUUGUUUCCAGCCUGGAUGCAGCCUUCUGGCUAACUGGAGCUCUUACCGUUUCGCACAGACCUGAGCUCUCAGCUGCCACAAGGUCUGAGAAGCUUGGUUCGGUCUCUCUGUAGAUAAGUCUGGACGGGCUCUUGGCAGAAAUAGCUUCCCAUAGGCUCCUCGGAACGGUUAUUGCUCUAGGGCAAGGAUGCAUAUAGAUACGCCACAGUCAGCUGAAAGGGUAUCAGAGGAUGGAUGUUGAAAUCCCUGGAAAUAGGCCUUUGUGCCCAGCUUUGGUGUGCCAGAUGUAGUCUAUUUGAAAAUUUUAUUUCCCUAACGUUUCUUCAGAUAAUUUAUACUAAGAGCUGGGCUGGAUAUACACCCACUUGAGUUUGUGGAGUUGUCCUGUAUUAAAAAAAAAUUAAAAACUGGAGCCAGCUUUGUUUGGAAGCUUCCGCUAAUGAUCUCAUUCCUCUUCUGAAACCUCUGAGAGCUCUCUCUGCUAGGCAGUUAGACCUGGAUCAAACACGGAAGUCUGUGUGCAAAUCCUUGCUCAGAAAGCCUCUAAAUUGCACUCUAAAUGUCAGAAAUGUGGUGAUCUGUGAAAUCAUGUGUGACUGUGUUAGCUUUUCACAAUUAGCAGUGGUAUUAAGGACUUUCUUUAAUGAGGAGAGCAGCAAAGGCAAAAAAAAUUGGCUGUUUUUAAAAGGAGCUUUUAAUUCAAUAAAAGCAAACCCUAUCAUCAAGGCUCUCAGGAACGUACUAGCUAGCUUGCUGUUAACUGUAUCGAAACAGUGGAGAAAAUCACCUGCUGAACAGACAGGAAAUAGGGACUGGAGCAAGAACCCAGCAACAAGGCAGGAAUACAUACAGUGACAACUGCCUUAGCAAGAGGAGCCUUUCUCCUGCAUGCAGUACGUUCAUGUCCUCAGAGACAAAAAACAGGUAUAAGUGGUCAGUAGGUUAAAAGAAUAUUAUUAUAAGAUUUUGGGAUCCAUGUGUGCUCUCAGUUCACCAUACAAUAGAUCUUUGUUUUCUCAUCAGAAAGUUUGUAUUCAUAAUUUGAAGAAAGCCUACUAUUUCAUCCCAGUAAAAAAAAUGUUCUGUUUGCUAGUAGAUCAAAGAUAUUCCAAAGCAAAGUUCUUUCCAUAUUGUUUGAGAAAUUGUGGUUAUAGACCACCAGCAUUCAUUGGCCAUCUACCAGCCAGUCUUUUAUGGCUAUUUGGCAGAGAUACUGGGAAAAGUAUGUAGAGUUUGCUACUAUUAGCAAAAUCAUACACUGUAAUAUUAACUGUGGAUAGUAUAUGAAAAUAGAUAAAUACAAAAUGUGGGUGAAAUAAAGUUGGUCAUGAAAGGAUGUGAAUGUUUAGAAAAACCAACCAACCAACCAAAAAAAAAAAAAAAAAGAAAAGAAAAGAAAAGAAAAAACCCCACCACCCUGAGAAUUCAAUAGCUUUAUUAGGUCCAAAAAAGUUUGAGACUGACAAAAAAGGUAGUUUCAAGGAGUUAGUGGAAACCUAAACUAGAUGUCUACUGAAGAAACAACAGACUCCACAGAAAAUGGAUCCCCUACAGUCCAUAUCUUUGUUAAUAUAGGACCAGAAUCCAUAACUUUUUAAAUAUAGGAUCAUAAGUAGUUGCCAUCCAGUCUAACCAUUCUACUUGUACAUCAGUUAUGUGCCUUUUUCUACAGCCUGGAGAUGGUGUGUGAGGGAAACCCUGUCGCUCUUAAACGUGAAUGUUCACCUCUGUUCAUGAAACAAAGACUCACCCUGGUUAAAUACUGAAUCUCCUUCGUGGAUGGAAAUAACAGCCGAGUUCCUCUGAGUGCAAGAUGUUCUGGGCAAUGACAGUGCAAUUAGGUAUGCAUGAAGACCAGAGGCCCUAACUGGGCUUCUGAGGCCAUAUGCAGUUGCUGGGAUCGUCGUACCUGGAUAAGCUCUCCUUCUCAAUUCGUAAUGAUGUCCAACCGGCAAAUGAUGCUUGCUGUUUUCUAAAGUCAGCUGAUGCAUAUUUACAUUGGUGAAGAAGAGGACGGACUCCGCAGCGUGCAGGACUUGCUUGUGCUCUUUUGUGUGAAGGCUGAGCCCGGCUGGGACUACACCCUGUGCUCACCCCUCAGGUAAAGCCGUACAGCUUUCCAAGAACUGGUUCUUCUUCUUCCCAUAACUAGACCAUCCUGGUCACAUAGCACCGAGGGAGUGGAAAUCUGACUCAUCUUUUUUUACAGUUGCAGUUGCAAGGCUCUAACAAAAAACAGAUGGGGGGAAACAUGCCCAAAUAUUUAACAAACCGAGCUGCUCUUCCCUGAGAUCCUUCCCUCCUUCCCCAGCAACAGCGUGCCUUGCUGCGAAUUGCACUAUCUCUGCAGGAGCGCUGCCAGAUUACCAGUGAUGUGGCUGAGGCAAUCUCUAACUGCUGAAGCUGUUAUAUCUCUGUAAUUGCAUUUGCAGCUAACGAGGCCUACCAGUCCCAGUUCUAAACUCUGUCUUCCAUGAAAAACGCUGUUCAUUACUACUUCAUCAAGGCUGCUCCGAUUACUUGAGUCAUUGAUCUGAAAAGCUUGGGGAAGGAGAUGUGCGAGUUGAAACUAACUCACAGUUCUUGUGUCCUAAAUGAGUGAUUUUGUAACUAAGUAAUGAUAUUCUUAAAUUUUUUUUCCAAAAUAUUCCUUUAAAGAUCAAAGCUUCCAUUUUUGAAGAUACUGGUUUGUUUUUCUCCAGAAUUUGUGGCUCCUGAUUCAGUGUUGUAUGUGUAAAAUUGUUUAAAUAUACCAAGGAAAUGAUAAGUGUUGCUGUAUGUGGAUGAGAGGAUAUUUUCCAGUGGUCAGCAAGCAGCUCUAAUGAAUCAAUCCUGUUAACCUGCUUGCAUAUGGUAUUUGCAACUCAAGAAAAAGAGAGAGAAUAGCUAGAGAUUUGGCUGUUCACUAAAAUAUAGUUGGGUGUAUAUGAUUUUGUGGUUAUGUGUGUGGCCAUGACAGAUAAUUCCUAGCAUUUUUACAAACAAAGUUGUGCAUUGUUUAUAGCAGCUAAGCCACUUAAUGCAACUUUAUCUACCAGUAAGGAAGCAUAUAUGAAGAAAAAUAUACUUUCAUUUUCCUCUGUGCAUGACAGGGCCAUAUACACAUCUUAGAGUAGUAGAAAUAAAAGGCACACAUGGCUGUCAUCUCACUAAUUUCUGUUUUUAUAAAUGCAAACAAUUAUCUUAUGUUGAAAGAAAACUGAAUUUUUCAGUGGAGUUCAACUUUGCAGACAUUUCUUCUGGCUUAGAUGCAAUAACUGGGCAAGAAAUAUAGCUUGAAUUAAUGUCUAGAAAACUUUUAACUCAUGUUUGAUUUCUAGUGGCACAACUUGUUGCUUGAAAUUUUGGUUUAUUUCCAGCAUUUUUUCUUUCUUUUUAUUCCAACAUUCCAACACAUUUAAAAAUGUAUGUGUGGGGAUUUUUUUUUUUAAUGUAUAUGCUCAAUAGUUUCAUAACCAAUGACAUUUGUUACUAUUCAUGUUCAAAGGCGUACUUAGUAGUAAGAUUGCUUCAACCAAAGUAGGUAAGAGUUCUGCACACCGCUCAGGGAGAAAACAGCUUGUAUGACUACAACAUGAUGUAAAGGACAACUGUUUCUCUGGUGUCAGUUUAUACCCUUGAAUGUAUGCAUGUGAAUUCUGGUAAAGGCAAUGGGAGUUGGGCUGCAUACAGUUUUAUAACUCACUUUUCAGUGAUAAGCUGGCUGAACUAAGGAGCUGCUUUCUGCACAAAGUGCAAGGCCUGUGUUGGAGCUAAAAUCAUUUUCACAGUGCAGAGCAAAAAAGGAUAUGGUUAUAAAAUUCAGAUGUGAAUUUUAUAUACUGUAGGCCAGGUUCUUCACGUAUCUACAAAAGAAAAAAGAAACCCAGCCCACUCUGUCACUGGGUGUAUAACCAUAACUGGAUGUUUGUUCAGCCACUAAGGAGACUUUUUACAUAUUUGAAUGUGGUCCAGAUUCAUACUUCUGUCCCUCUGCCUCUAAGAAGGGUGUUUGGGAAUUGUAUUUGAUCCAGACUAACUGUUAGCUAAGUUUGUUACUAAAUGUUUUUUCUUUAAUCAGGUACAAGAUCUAUAGCAGGAAACAUCCAUUAAAAAUGCAUACUUUUUAAUCCCCUGCUCUCCGCCCAUUGCUGGUAGCAUUGUAUCCUUGUCUGGGUAGACACUGUGAGUCAGAUCUUUACCUUUCAGGGCAUAAUUGCUGGGAGGGAAAAUAUUCCCCUGAGAAUAAAUAGGAUGCGUGAGUGAUGCACCAGUUCAUAUUUCUCCUUAAAAUGUGAUGUCUCUUCCUGAACAAAUGACCCUUAUAUGGUAAAAGAGCAGCCUGUUCUUCUGGCCCUGAGUUUUUGGAAGCAUCACUUCUAAGAUGUUUGGUACUAAGAGGUAUCUGGAAGAUCAAAUUAUUUUCUCUUUAAUCAGUAAUAAAUGAUGAGUCUGAACACAGUGCAUGUUUACUUCAUGCUCAUUCCUGAAAGAGACGUGAGAAAAAAGGAUAAACCAGACAGCCUGUUAUUCUUGCUGCUAUUGCUGUCUAUAAUACUUCCUUUUCUUUUACAGCUGUUCAGUACCUGAUGGAAAAUUCCUGUUCAAUGCAAUCAGAAAGAGCCUUUUAAUUAUUUUUGUGUACCUAUUCCACUGAAUUUAAUCAGCAGUUACAUUCCUGCUGUAAGUUGGUAAGAGGCUUUAAAAAAAUCCAUCAUCUACUAAAUUCCAUGAAAUUAAAAUCUGCAGAAAUUGUCUAGAACCAGACUUGGUUCGGUUGUAUAAAAUGAUUCUCUAGAGUUACUAGCCUAAGUUAUUCUCAUCCCACAAAGAGGAAUUAAUUAAACAUGGACAAUAGAGGGGAAGAUGACACUUCUGGUGUGGUAGGGUUUUCUUCUUCUCACUGCACGUUGCACCACUUUUCAGCACAUUUGAGAUUUGAGUUUCUCCAGCCUUUCUCCCAAUUAAAUUAGAUUUUGUGAAGUCAACAGUACUUCCGUAAGUGGGAGCAUUCACAGUGGAUUUUUUUAAAGAUAAGCUCAAAGACAAGGGCAAAACUCCCAACGACUAGUGGGGACAGAAGCCACCUGCACGUCAGCCUUGUUGAGACAGCAGCAUCACUUUGCGCGUGGCAGGGGAGACUGACAUCUCACUGAGAGACAGAGGAGCAGGCUGCGAGUUAAACUAUUUAUCAGAUGUGUGCUGAAGUCUUGGCUAAAGAGCAUGGUGCAGUUUGUGAAUAGCAGUGUUCAUGAGGUGUUACGUGUUGUCAGACCUUAUCAGGACAGGGUCCAAUUAAGGCCUGAUUAUACACUCACUGGGGCCACUGGGGCUUUUCUAAUAGCUGCAGAGAUUGCUUGGUCAGGCUUUAGGUAUGAAAGCAGAGGUCUGGUUUCCUACCAAAGUGUACAAGUAUCUCACAUGACAGGCCAUUUGUGCACAAGUGAAGGAAGGAGGAAGGUGUUAAGCAUGUGCUUUACUGAGCACCAGGCACUGGAGUGACUAUCUUUGCUCACUGGUGCUCUGUGAGAGUAAAGGUGUAUUAAAAGUUUUAUGCUGGGACUCCUCUGAACCCAAAAUGUCAAGAGGCAGGAAGGCAAAUGAAUUGAUUCUAAUGAAAGUGUAAUCCAAGGUGCUGUAAACCAGAUUUUUCUGUGUGGUGUUUAGUCACAAGAGUAUUUCUUGGCUGUUACUUAUAUAUGUUGUUUUUUUCAAGUCUUUCAGUUUACAGAAGCCUAGAUACAUCUUCUACUGAUAAACAUUAGAAGGCAGGCACAGUCUGACUAAGCUUCAUGGAAAAACAAUCUCCCAACCUACUUUAAAAUUUUGCAUUUUUUUCCUUUCUGCACUUAAACUGAACCCCCAAACACUCGAUAGCUUUUUGUGCAGAAGCUCUGCUCAAAUCUGAAGAAGUGGCUCCUGUGACAAGUGGUACAUGAAUUUCACCAGGAACUUUCAGUGAAUUGACCGUUUCCAGUUGCCUAAAGUCUCCCAAUCUACUCUAAACUAGAUGACUGGUGGUGAAAAUAUUUACAGCUAGUAUAAGGUGAGGACAUAAGAACAAGGCUUUUCAACUGCAUUUACCAUUACUCCUACUAGUACAAGUUUAAAAAAAGGUAUAUUUACUGCCAUUCUGUACAACUUUUUGCUUGUGUUACAUAGUUCCAUAGUCCCUUUGAAGCUGCCUGUUAGUGUAUUCAUACAGCUAGAACAAUUUUAGGUGUUUUCCAUGACUUUUCAGUUGUAAAUCCUACAUCUAUAGUAUCAAAGAUGUUAAGAGUUUUUAGUAACUAAGCGCCAUUUUCCUGAACCUUGCCAGCCACACAUUUAGAAAUUUGCUUAAAAUCUAUAUGUAAAAAGUGAGCCUGCAACUGGAUAUACAAUUAGAUGGAAAAAAUGUUGUAUGUAUGAAAAUGGCGUAACUGCAUGAAUGUAUUUAAAUGGAAGGCUGAAAGUUUCUAUAAAUCUGGCCAUCCCUGAGGCAGAACUGCGAGGUUACAGAGGUUUGCAAGCUCUUAAUACAGUUUGGCUUGAUUUACACCCAUCAUCCUCUGUAGUCAAGUGCAAUCUUAACCUUUUACAUUAUACACAUGUUGCAGAACUGGAGGCUGAUUCAUCUUUGAAGCAAGAAUCUCCCAAGGCAAAGAUCUUUAAUCAUACUGUGAAAUAGCCCUGUGAUAAAAUCUGUACUACUUAACCUUGGGACCAUGAUAAUGUCCACGUCAUUAGCACAAAGUCUAAAAAGAUUAGGAAAGUGAGCAUGUCACAUAACUUGCUGGAAACACUCGACUCCUUUAGAAGUGGCACAGUUUCAGUACUAGUGCUGUUGCUCUCCUUCCACGCUGCGCCGUCCGCACCCUGUUUGGCGAGUGGCACCUUCGUGUCUCCAUGUGUGCUGACCUGGUUCCUGCCGGCUCCCUGCCCUGCUGCCCUCUCCUCCCUCUCUCCCAGCAGCGGUGUGUUAAGAGAAUUGCAAAUUCGCACAUGCAGUGUUACAGGUGCAGGCUCAGACCAGCCUCUUCCUUUGCAGCUGACCAGCUGAACCUGGACUGCAAGGCGCAUUGCACACACGCUGCUAAGGACUCCACUGGGGAUGCUUUCCUGUUUUUCUUUUUAUUGCUGCUGCUGAGUGACAGCAGAGAACAAACCUGAAAUAGAAAAGGCUAUGGGAGCAGCUUGUUCAGGCCUGGCCUAUGGAAAACAGAGCACUUGAACAGACAGCCUGAUGUUAACAAGUGCCUUAAUCCCUCACAAAAAUCCAGUCUCAAAUUUUCUCUUUUCCUCAAGGGCCAGAGUUUAUUUCAAACAGGAAGAAAAUGCCUGUAUGUCUUCUAUCUAUUUAAAUAUUGAGAAAAAGCUUUAGUGAAAGUUAACUGGUUUUAAGCUUGCUGAAUUAUUCUUAAACUUAUACUACUGUAUUUAAUCAUUCAGUAGAAUCAGCAGAAUUAUGACUGGAGCUGAUUCCAGAAACCAGUGAUUAACAAGCGGGUGAAAUGGAUAUUUCGAAGAUCAGUCAAGUCACACGCACAGCCAAAAAAUUUAAUGGUCCCUUCCCAUAGACCACAUAUACACCAUUACUUAUACAGACAUGCAUGCAAUCUGGGUGGUAACUUCUCAGAAGUUAAUAAAUAAAAAAUGCUGUCUUCUCCUUUUCACAAAACAGAAAAAAGAAGAAUAUUGGGAAUGGGAAAUGAUUUGCCCCCUAAAUCACACUGUUCUUUGGAAUACUACAGCUGGCAGUUUAUUUACAACAUUUGUAAUUGGAUUAAAAAUCUGUUUGUUCCCCAAAAAUAAUAAUAAAAAAGAAUAAGAUGAGUAGGAGAUGACCUGUUGCAACCUGUCAUAUCUUCCUUUUUGGGAUUAAUCUGAUUGCUCCAAAUUUAUUCAGGCCUCACAUGUUCUUGGCUGUAUCCCAAAACCUAAUGAGAACUGUGAGUCUCUCACCCAUGCAAAGACUGCAUGCACCCUUUCAGAAUCUCCUAAAAUACUCUUGGACAUGUUCUGCCAGCAAAAUAUUGGGGAUCCUGCCCUAUUUGUGUCUUAACAAGAUAAACCACUGCCUUGCUGACUGCAGUAAGGCUGUAAAACAAAGUAAUUUAGACAACCUUGAUAUAAAUCUAUUUUAAGCUAUAAAGACUUGAAGUUUAUCCUGCUAGAGAAAAGCAGUUUAGAUGCACUAGACUUCCAUGAGACAGAGGCAUAUUUCCCACAUAAUUUUGGUAUGAACUGCAAGACCCCAUUUUUCUUGUUCUCCAUUUCCAAACACAGCUAAUAUCUGCCUACCAUAAUUAUUUUCCUCUGGCUAGGCCAGGCUGAGAGAUUUUGGGUGAAAUCAAUUAAACCCUUGGAAGUAUGCAACAAGUUGGAAUGUGUUAAAGUUUCACCAAGAAAGAAAACACCGUUUCUCUACAGGGAUGAUAAAAAAGUUGGGAUCCUUCAAUCCUAGCCUACUUUUUGUGAGACAAAGACUUACAAUUGUGCUUUGUUUCAAAACCGAGGAUGAGCUUCUCUUCAUGGAGCUCGUGGUGGUGGUUAACACAGGAUUCCUCAGUGACUCAUCAAUGCCUUGGAGUGGGGGAAGUCUUCAGCACAGGAGUCACGCCUUCAACAUCUAAUGUCAAAGUCUGAAUUAGAAAUACCUUUACACAAAGCAAUUGGUUCCAAGAUGCAGUGGUCAGCUGAAAAAAAGGCAGUGCCUGGAGGCAGUGGUUUAGCUUUUGGUGCCAGCUAGCUUGGAACUGUUUUGAUCUGUAUUGUGACUUAAGAGCAACUGAGGAUAGUGUAUGAAUGUGACAUUUUGAUGCAAGGAGGGAGGAAGUCAAAGGCAAAUUAGUAAAUGAUUUCUAAUAGAUCUGCCAAUCAAAAAACUGGCCAUUGGACAACAGCCAAAAAGCAAAGAUGAACCAUGCUAAUAUCCAAAUGAAUGAGCUAAUCAGAUAACUGUCGUCCAGCCCACUGGCGCUGAAGUGUCUGUUUACUGCCAUGGACAGUCUGGGAGGCCAUUUGUGACUGUAAACAACAGUAAGUAUUUAAGCAUCUGCUGAACUGUAGUGCACGGAAUAGCAAGGAAUACAGCAACAUGUUGUUACCUCAACAAGGAACACAACAACCGCAGCUCAGCCACAUAAAGCCCCUUCCCUGUCUCUUGCAGAAAAUAAAUGUCCUGCUGUUUCUGGGUGCCAGAAGUUGCAGAAUCCAUGAGGUCUCAUGUAAGGCUGUAAGAGGGGAAGAGAGGAGGCAGGAUCCUGGCUCUUUUGAAACCUUUAAGGACAGAUGUACCAGUGCGCUGGAUGUUGCUUCAUUGCAUCAGGCUAUUCUCCUCCUGCGAAGCAGAGGGACUGUGAGACUCACUGCAUCAAAUAUUCUCCAAAGGUGGGCCAAUGAGAGCAGCACUGCAGUCCAGCUUUUAUUGGGGUGACUGCAGCUAAGCUUCAGUAUCAUUGAACUCGACAGGCCACAGCUGGUAAGAAAGUAGGGCAGCAUGUCUCUGGGUCAGUGACUGGACUUGUCCCUCAGCUAUGCAUUCCCUUAAUCUCAGAGGAGAAAUUACUGUGUAUUUCUCAGUAAUGAAAACUGAAUCUCUCUCCGCUCUGACUGGCUGAAGGUGCAUGGACAUACAUCUCUGUGUUAUAUAGAAAAGCCUUUGGUUUGAUGCUGUGUGGCGAAGUCAGCGUGCUCGUCAGAAAUAUUGUCACUUCAGUGUCUGAUCUGCUUUUCACCACCUUUCUCCCAGUGCCAGGUAGAAUAAAAUAAUAAAACUCAGAUCUGUACACACAGGGAGGGCUAAAAGAACAGACCUUGCCCACGAUCGAGGAGGAACUGCAGAGAUGUAUUAAGACGUUAAGGAUUAGGGAGAGUGACAAAGCAAGGUGGAGUUACAAACCGGAGUGAUGAUGUUCGCGAUGGAUAUAUCUAUGGACAUCUGGAGGAUAUUGCCGCUCUGAACACAAGAGGCUAAUAUUGUAAUGAAGUAUGAGAGGGAGGGCAAUAGUUCAUGCUCCUCUUCGACCACUCAGUGACUGUUGCCUGGGUGAGAACUCGCUGGUUCUCAGUAUUAGACUGUAUUCUGUGGUGUAGUUACUACCUUUAGAAAAAUAAUAAGCACUGUAAUAAAAUGUAUUAAAGUUUUUCUCGUAA
Long non-coding RNA from Dromaius novaehollandiae (emu), 11631 nucleotides. RefSeq lists it as uncharacterized. The record is from RefSeq and is a predicted model, not a curated record. NCBI's taxonomy places the organism in Eukaryota, Metazoa, Chordata, Aves, Casuariiformes, Dromaiidae. The transcript is spliced from 5 exons.